Arachis ipaensis is the source of this 1739-nucleotide RNA transcript. It is a transcript of the gene named RING-H2 finger protein ATL52, with no coding region annotated. The record is from RefSeq and is a predicted model, not a curated record. NCBI's taxonomy places the organism in Eukaryota, Viridiplantae, Streptophyta, Magnoliopsida, Fabales, Fabaceae.
AACCUGGAUUAUAAUAUCAGGCAAUUAUUAUGCGUAAUAUUAUGUUAAUAAAUUAUACUAUAUCAUAAUUAAAUUCGUGCAUGUUGAGAAAUUAUGGCAUUGUCGGUGACCAAAUGAUGAUUAAUAUGACUAGUUAUGUAAACUUUACCCAAAAAAAAUAGCUUUAAAAAGUAGAGAGAGAUAAGACCAAGAAGAGAAGGUUAGCGAAGAGAACGGCGAUAAGGUGACCACACAAUUUCCCACCACCUACUUUCGCUUUGCUUUCCAACUACGCUCCAUUCGUUACUCUUUCUCUCUCUCCGAUACCCAAUCUCCCACUUUUCCUUCUCUUUUCUCUUCCCCUUCAUCCCAAGAAAAACAUUGAACUCAGCUGAGAGUUAUGGCUGAAAAAUCAAACAGCUCAGAAACAUCCGCAUCAUUUACAUAACUAGACUUACAAAAGAAGAUUCUAGGCUGACCACAUAGCUUUUAGUUACUGCUUUAAUGGGUUCUGUGAGUAACACAAAUCCAUGGGUGGCUCCAAAUUCGGUUUUGAAGGACUGUUCCCAAGGGAUUUGCAGCAUGUAUUGUCCUCAAUGGUGCUACAUCAUGUACUCGCCUCCACCACCGUCAAUCGUUCUCGGUGACGGUUCAGAUGACGAUGAUUCUUCCUCCGGCUUCCAAUUCUCUCCCCUUAUAGUCGCAGUGAUUGGAAUCUUGGCAAGUACUUUCAUCUUGGUCACUUACUACACCGUCAUCUCAAGGUUCUGCAGGAACAGAGGAAGAGUUAACGAUCAAGCAAAUCAUAGCAAUGAUGAUACUGUUAAUAACAAUGAACCUUCUCAGGUUGCUGCGACUUCCGGCAUGGACGAGGCUCAGAUCAAAUCGAUAACCGUCUGUAAGUACAUCAAGAACGGUGGGUUGGUUGAGGGAAGUGACUGUUCCGUUUGUUUAUCAGAGUUUCAAGAGAAUGAGAGUUUGAGAUUGUUGCCCAAAUGUAACCACGCUUUUCAUCUUCCUUGUAUUGAUACUUGGCUUAAAUCACAAGCUAGUUGUCCCUUGUGCCGCUCCAAUAUUGUUUUCUCUAAUAAUAACUCCAAUCCGAGUCACUCUGACUCGGCAUUGACACAGAUUCCACAUCCGCCACCGGCAACUGUCAGUGUCAAUUCCUUGGAAUAUCAGCAGAGGAGUGAUGAUGUUGUUGCAAUAAUUGUUCAGAGUUCACAGCAUCAGCAAGUUGUGGUUGAUUUUGGUAGUCAAGUCCAGGAGAACAAAGUGAAUCUGUAAUGUGUGAAUCAAAUGGGGAAAAAAAAAAAGCAGCAGUGUGGAUGCAUCUUUGUUCAUCUCAAGCCUCCCACUGCCUCCUCCUCUCAAACGCCAUCUAUCGUAGCCAGUAAAAAACCUACGGUACGCCGUCAUCGUCACCCCGCCCAGAAUGGAGACGCUAUUCCAUCGUUGUCCAACAACGCACCUAUACCUCUCUCCUACACGUCGCAUCUCCACCUCUGUUGAACUCGCGAAGCGCCGUCGCUCCCUCGCCGUGCCGGAAUUUUCGCGCCGUUGCUACCUAACCGCGCUGGAGUCUUUGUCUUGUCGCAUCUCUGGCCCUGCCUCCAACCCGCCGUCAGAUGGUUCUUUUAUAUGAGAAGUGGAUGUUUAUUUGGUUUAUACCAUUGCUCUGUUACUUGAUUUGCUUGAUUCUGUAUGCACAUACUCUGCAGGAUUCUUUUGUUAUGUGAUUUGAAUUUGAUUUAGUUUAA